Molecule: long non-coding RNA, 3097 nt
Filed under: Leptinotarsa decemlineata (Colorado potato beetle)
Lineage: Eukaryota; Metazoa; Arthropoda; Insecta; Coleoptera; Chrysomelidae
Description: uncharacterized LOC111516513, transcript variant X2
Source: RNAcentral
AAGUGGUGAAAGUGUUAUUGCUUGUCUAGUAUUUUUCUUCUACAGAUGAUUAUGACAAAACUUAUUCCAAACUGAAGUUGGCUGAAUUGUAUUCAGAUAUUCAAAGUGAUGGAGAAGAGGAUUCACUUCAAAAGAGACAAAGGAUACUACCUCGGCGACUAUCAUUUAGUGAUGAUGAAUUAAAUGAAUCUCAACCACUUCGCCCACCACCUAUGAAAAAAGUUCAACAUGAACAAUCAGUAAAUCGUAGAGUUGAUUCGAGCAAAGAAGAUUUAGACAUAACUCAGUCAGUAUAUACCUCAGGUUCAAAAUCUGGCAACAUCCACUACCACACACUCUUGAGGGUCUUCAUUGCAAAGAUCAAUAUUUUUAGGAGAGCCUGCAGAAUAUUCAACAAACCAUAGAAUUGAAGUUUUGGGGCAAAAAGAUUCAGAAAGAUCUCACUCACUAGGUGUUCCAAGUCUAAAAUCUGACCAUCCAAUUUGCGCUUCUUCACAAUCAUUAGGAACCCCUUCAAACAAAUCUAGAUAUAUAAGUGAGCAGCACAUUGCAUUUCAGACUAUUUUGUACCAAAUCAAUCAACUAAAGGAACAAAACAAGUUGAUAAUUUCUCUGUUGAAUAAACGAAUUGAUGAAAAUGUUGUUAAGGCCAGAUUACCUGAUAAUCUACCUAUUCCAUUGCCUAUCAGAAAUCAAAAUGAUUUUACUCUAUUAGAGGAGUAUCUUGAGAAUCCAAAGAACAUUGAUUUAUUGAUUUCAUAUUUUUCUACCAAAGGUGGAAAAGAUAUAACAGCAGCUACUAAUCGAAUAUUAAGAAGUAUUUUCACUGAUGCUGUUGCAAGUAAUUUCAGUUUUUUUGGAAAAAGAUUAGACAAGAAACCUUUCUGUGAUACUAAAACAAAAACUUUGGUAGUUGGACAGUAAAAAUAAUCAGGGAAGGAGGAUUAUGUGAUUGAGGACAUAAUAAAAAUCUGGUUGAAACAUGCUCCACAACGCAUGAAAAACUCAAAAUCCAAGAACAUUUCGGAUAAUUAGAGUUGAGGACGCAGAUAGUAAGGGAAAGCCUUUCCUUUUUGAUGAACACCAGAGGAAAAACAUCUGAUGGUAGCCAUUUGGAAGUAAUUUACUUUUUUGUAAUUCAUUAGGAGUUUAUUGUAUUUAGUAUCUUUGAAAAUUUCAAGUAUUACAAAGAAUGUGUGGGAGCACGUCAAAGGUAUAGACGAGUGGCAAAUGAAGUAAGAAGUACACUUCAAGGUAUUGACAGUCAUACUGUUGAUGAAAAUGAGGCUUCUAAAUCAAAUCCUAGUAAAGCACCUCUCAAUUGGGAAUUGUCUGCAGAAUUAUGUCAGAUUAUCAUCUGAUACUCCUGUAAUCAAUGAAAGGGUUUCUCCGGAGAAUGACAUCAAUUCUGUAUUAAAGCAGUGGGCACUGCAAAAUAAAGUACCACAUUCUGUAUAAAAUGAUCUGCUUAUCUUGCUAUCUCCAUUUCAUCCAAGUCUACCAUUAAAUUCAAGAACUCUUCUGAAGACUCCAAGAAGUCCUAUCGGUUUCAAAAAAUUGGAUAAUGGUCAUCUAUGUUAUUUUGGACUUGAACAAUAUUUGACACGUUUUCUGUCCACUUCAAAAUUGAAUGGUGAUACAGUUAGGCUUUCUUCAAAUAUCGAUGAAUUACCUUUAUAUCAUAAUUCUGCUGUACAGUUUUGGCCAAUUUUAGGGCUCAUUAAAAAUGAUGGUGUGGUAAUCAGUCCAUUUGCGAAAUCCAUUUUCUGUGGCACAACAAAACCAUCUCCACUGUCUUCCUUCUUUGAAGAUUUUAUAAAUGAACUCAAGCAUUUGAUGAAUAAUGGCUUAGUUCAUAACAACAAAAAUUAUAAAAUUGAAAUUCAAAAUUUUAUCUGUGAUGCUCCAGCUCGAACUUUUAUCAAUUGUGUUAAAACUCACAGUGGAUAUUCUGCAUGCGAUUGUGUGUGUUGAGGAAGGUGAUUACAUCAAUGGAAGAGUGAUAAUAUAUAGAUGGACUUCAGCCCAAAAACGAAUGGAUGAGUCAUUUUUAUCAUAGCAGGAUCAAGAACAUCACACAGGUUUAUCACCUGUAUCAGCUUUGGAUGUUGGUUUAGUCAGUCUUUUUCCUAUCGACUAUAUGCAUUGUGUAUGUCUUGGUUUUAUGAAGAAACAUCUUCUGUCUUGGAUUAAAAGAAAUUUGAAAGUGAGAUUGAACAGCAGGCUAGUUACAACUAUUUCUAAUCAUUUGAUUGAUAUGAACAUUUCUAUUCCAAGUUAUUUCAACAGGAGGCCCAGAUCCUUAAAUGAGUUAGCACGCUGGAAAGCUGUAUUCGGGUCCAGUGGUACUCAAAGAUAUUGUUGAUGAAGCUGUGUAUGAGCAUUUUAUUUUCUUUCACUGUGGCAUUUCAAUUUCAGCUUCUGCUAGAAAUAUUUCGACUAUUGGGAUUGAAUUGGCCAGAGAAAUGUUGAAUAUAUUUGUUACUCACUCUGAGCAAAUAUUUGGUCGGGAAUUUCUGGUAUAUAAUGUACAAAUUGUCUCCCACUCAACUGAUGAUGUGAACAAAUUUGGGCCUUUAGAUACCUUUUCUGCCUUUCCAUUUGAGAAUGUUUUAGGACAGAUUAAAAAAUUGAUUCGUUUUUCUAGAAAACCAAUAGAACAGAUUUAUUGUCGCUUGAAGAAGUUCUCCCUAGAAAAUAAAUCGGCACGCAAUAAUUUGCUUGAUAAAACUAAUCUUUCUUUAGAACAUUUUAAUGGACCAGUCAUCAAUGCGAUUGACUUCAAAAGGCAGUUCAAAAACAUUUCAUACAGGGGAAUGCAUUUUUCUGUAAUAUCACAUUCAGAAUCAAAUGCAUGUCUUAUGAAAAAUAAUCACGUUUUUCGAAUUCACAAUGUAAUUGUUACUUCUCAGAGGUCUACUUUUUUGAUAGGCAAACAUUUCACAUGUUAUAGGAAACUUUAUUCUUAUCCAAUAUCGUCAAAACGGUUACAUAUAUACCUCAUAGAUGUCUAAUCAGACUUGGAAAUGUGGAGUGUUGAUAACAUACUAACAAAAUGUUUGGUUUUAUCUUUUAAUGAUGGAAAUUCUGUGGUGUC